GAUGAAGAACGCAGCGAAAUGCGAUACUUGGCGUGAAUUGCAGAAUCCCGUGAACCAUCGAGUCUUUGAACGCAAGUUGCGCCCGAAGCCAUUAGGCCGAGGGCACGCCUGCCUGGGCGUCACACGUCGUUGCCCCCCCAUCUACUCCUUCGGGAUUGCGGGGGGCGGAUGAUGGCCUCCCGUGCGCCUCGUCGCGCGGUUGGCAUAAAUGCCAAGUCCUCGGCGACACACGCCACGACAAUCGGUGGUUGCGAAACCUCGGUUGCCCGUCGUGUGCGGUCGUCGCGCAUCGAGGGCUCGAAAAAAUUGCCGGGCUCCGGCUCGGCUUUCAACGCGACCCCAGGUCAGGCGGGGUUACCCGCUGAAUUUAAGCAUAUCAAUAAGCGGAGGA
Molecule: unclassified non-coding RNA, 391 nt
Filed under: soil metagenome
Description: partial contains 5.8S ribosomal RNA, internal transcribed spacer 2, and large subunit ribosomal RNA
Rfam family: 5.8S ribosomal RNA (bases 1-122)
Source: RNAcentral